Molecule: ribosomal RNA, 1235 nt
Filed under: metagenome
Description: bacterial LSU rRNA
Rfam family: Bacterial large subunit ribosomal RNA
Source: RNAcentral
UGAGUACGAGAUGCUACGGCAUCGAAGCAGUCUAUGUCAUACUUCCAAGAAAAGCUUGCAAUGUCAUAAACAAAUAAUGCCUGUACCAUAACCGACACAGUGGGUAGGUAGAGUAUACUAAGGGGCGCGAGAUAACUCUCUCUAAGGAACUCGGCAAAAUGACUCCGUAACUUCGGGAGAAGGAGUGCCUUAUUUUUAUAAGGUUGCAAUAACAAGAUCCAAGCAACUGUUUACCAAAAACACAGGUCUCCGCUAAGUCGUAAGACGAUGUAUGGGGGCUGACGCCUGCCCAGUGCCAGAAGGUUAAAGAAGUUGGUUAGCAUUAGCGAAGCUGAUAACUGAAGCCCUGGUGAACGGCGGCCGUAACUAUAACGGUCCUAAGGUAGCGAAAUUCCUUGUCGGGUAAGUUCCGACCCGCACGAAAGGCGUAAUGAUUUGGAUACUGUCUCGGAGAGGGGCUCGGUGAAAUAGACUUGUCUGUGAAGAUGCGGACUACCUGCACCUGGACAGAAAGACCCUAUGAAGCUUUACUGUAACUUGAGAUUGAAAUUGGACUUUAUCUGCGCAGUAUAGGUGGGAGACGUUGAAAAUAUUCUUGCGGGAAUAUUGGAGUCAUCAGUGAGAUACCACUCUUAUAAUGUUAGAUUUCUAACUUUGUAUCAUUAUCUGGUCAAAGAACAGUUUCAGGCGGGCAGUUUGACUGGGGCGGUCGCCUCCCAAACGGUAACGGAGGCGCACAAAGGUUUCCUCUGAACGUGUAGAAAUCGUAUCUAGAGUGUAAAGGCAUAAGGAAGCUUGACUGUGAGACCUACAAGUCGAGCAGGGACGAAAGUCGGUCUUAGUGAUCUGACGGUGCUGAGUGGAAAGGCCGUCACUCAACGGAUAAAAGUUACUCUAGGAUAACAGGCUGAUCUCCCCCAAGAGUUCACAUCGACGGGGAGGUUUGGCACCUCGAUGUCGGCUCAUCGCAUCCUGGGGCGGUAGUACGUCCCAAGGGUUGGGCUGUUCGCCCAUGAAAGCGGUACGCGAGCUGGGUUCAGAACGUCGUGAGACAGUUCGGUCCAUAUCCGGUGUAGGCGUUAGAAUAUUGAGAGGAGCCUUCUUUAGUACGAGAGGACCGAGAAGGACAUACCUCUGGUGUACCAGUUAUCGUGCCAACGGUAAACGCUGGGUAGCCAUGUAUGGAGAGGAUAACCGCUGAAAGCAUCUAAGUGGGAAGCCCACCUCAAGAUAAG